Molecule: transfer RNA, 73 nt
Filed under: Bacteroidales bacterium
Lineage: Bacteria; Pseudomonadati; Bacteroidota; Bacteroidia; Bacteroidales
Description: tRNA-Thr
Rfam family: tRNA
About the family: Transfer RNA (tRNA) molecules are approximately 80 nucleotides in length.
Source: RNAcentral
GCCUCUUUAGCUCAGUUGGUAGAGCGGUUCACUCGUAAUGAACAGGUCGCCGGUUCGAGCCCGGUGAGAGGCU